RNAcentral lists this microRNA precursor (86 nucleotides) under Solanum tuberosum (potato). RNAcentral's name for it is "MIR8024 microRNA precursor family". It matches the Rfam family "MIR8024 microRNA precursor family". Lineage: Eukaryota; Viridiplantae; Streptophyta; Magnoliopsida; Solanales; Solanaceae. The record is from Rfam by way of RNAcentral.
UUGAAGGAUUUGAAGACUUCAACUUGCAGGCUUAAAGAAUUUGAAGACUUCAACUUGCAAACUUGAAGAAUGAAAAUUAUGCAACA